UACGUAGGGUCCAAGCGUUAAUCGGAAUUACUGGGCGUAAAGCGUGCGCAGGCGGUUCGUUAAGUCAGCUGUGAAAGCCCCGGGCUCAACCUGGGAAUGGCGGUUGAAACUGGCGAACUUGAAUCUGGCAGAGGGGGGUGGAAUUCCGCGUGUAGCAGUGAAAUGCGUAGAGAUGCGGAGGAACACCGAUGGCGAAGGCAGCCCCCUGGGUCGACACUGACGCUCAGGCACGAAAGCGUGGGGAGCAAACAGG
RNAcentral lists this ribosomal RNA (253 nucleotides) under uncultured bacterium. RNAcentral describes it as "partial 16S ribosomal RNA". It matches the Rfam family "Bacterial small subunit ribosomal RNA", at positions 524 to 776 of the family's 1533-position model. The record is from RNAcentral.